GCCAGCUGAUGCAUCACGCCGCGUGAGUGAAGAAGGCCCUCUGGGUUGUAAAGCUCUUUCGGCUGGGAAGAAGGGUCUACGUGCUAAUAUCACGUAGAUUUGACGGUACCAGAAGAAGAAGCACCGGCUAACUUCGUGCCAGCAGCCGCGGUAAUACGAAGGAGCAAGCGUUAAUCGGAAUUACUGGGCGUAAAGCGUGCGUAGACGGUUAUUUAAGUCGGAUGUGAAAUCCCCGGGCUCAACCUGGGAAUUGCAUUCGAUACUGAACAGCUAGGGUGCAGAAGAGGGAAGCGGAAUUUCCGGUGUAGCGGUGAAAUGCGUAGAUAUCGGAAGGAACAUCAGUGGCGAAAGCGGCUUCCUGGUCCAGCACCAACGUUCAGGCACGAAAGCGUGGGGAGCAAACAGGAUUAGAUACCCUGGUAGUCCACGCCAUAAACGAUGAGGACUACACGUUGGAAGGGUCAGACUUUCAGUGUCGCAGCUAACGCGAUAAGUCCUCCGCCUGGGGAGUACGGCCGA
This 519-nucleotide ribosomal RNA is filed under the name uncultured bacterium. Its description in RNAcentral is "bacterial SSU rRNA". It matches the Rfam family "Bacterial small subunit ribosomal RNA", at positions 377 to 889 of the family's 1533-position model. The record is from RNAcentral.